RNAcentral lists this ribosomal RNA (265 nucleotides) under uncultured bacterium. RNAcentral's name for it is "partial 16S ribosomal RNA". It matches the Rfam family "Bacterial small subunit ribosomal RNA", at positions 94 to 354 of the family's 1533-position model. The record is from RNAcentral.
UUAGGCGGACGGGUGAGUAACACGUGAGCAACCUACCUAUGAGAGGGGGAUAACGUCCUGAAAAGGACGCUAAUACCGCAUAACCCGACUGGAUGGCAUCAUCUGGUUGGCAAAGGAGCAAUCCGCUGAUAGAUGGGCGUCGCGGCCGAUUAGGUAGUUGGUGGGGUAAAGGCCUACCAAGCCGACGAUCGGUAGCCGGACGUGAGAGGUUGAACGGCCCACAUUGGGACUGAGACACGGCCCAGACUCCUACGGGAGGCAGCAG